GAUGAACGCUAGCGGCAGGCCUAACACAUGCAAGUCGAGGGGUAGCAGGAUUAAGCUUGCUUAAUUGCUGACGACCGGCGCACGGGUGCGUGACGCGUAUGCAACCUACCUUAUACUGGGGUAUAGCCCGGAGAAAUUCGGAUUAAUCCCCCAUAGUACUAAUGAAUCGCAUGGUUUAUUAGUUAAAGCAUUGCGGUAUAAGAUGGGCAUGCGUCCGAUUAGCUAGAUGGUGAGGUAACGGCUCACCAUGGCUACGAUAGGUAGGGGUCCUGAGAGGGUGGUCCCCCACACGGGUACUGAGACGCGGACCAGACUCCUACGGGAGGCAGCAGUGAGGAAUAUUGGUCCAUGGGCGCAAGCCUGAACCAGCCAUGCCGCGUGCAGGAAGAAUGCCCUAUGGGUUGUAAACUGCUUUUAUUUGGGAAUAAACCUCUUUACGUGUAGAGAGCUGAAGGUACCAAAUGAAUAAGCACCGGCUAACUCCGUGCCAGCCGCCGCCGUAA
RNAcentral lists this ribosomal RNA (503 nucleotides) under uncultured bacterium. RNAcentral's name for it is "partial 16S ribosomal RNA". It matches the Rfam family "Bacterial small subunit ribosomal RNA", at positions 28 to 523 of the family's 1533-position model. The record is from RNAcentral.